Myodes glareolus (Bank vole) is the source of this 93-nucleotide small nucleolar RNA. The record is from RefSeq and is a predicted model, not a curated record. Lineage: Eukaryota; Metazoa; Chordata; Mammalia; Rodentia; Cricetidae.
UUUCAAAGUGUUUAGUUCAGGUCAGGGCAGCUUCCCUGUUUUGUUAAUUAAAUUUGGCACAUUGAAUGACUGAAUAUACUUCCUAGUAUAUAC